UCCCCAUUUCUUUCUUCUCCCGAAACUCACUUUCUCUUCUUCGACCCAGGCAAACCCCACUUCUCUCUAUUGCAGGAAUCUCUUCUUCAACCCACAAGCCCUCUUCUCUCCAUCGAUCGUCCACGUUGCCGUCAUCUUCUAACCCAAACGGGCCAUUGAUGUGUUGAACCCCUUUCCUUGCCAAUGAAUCUUCGUCCAAAGUUUGUGCCAUUUCCUCCACAAAUCUGCCACAACAAAAUCGCGAUUUGGGUAAAUCAUUUGGUAUUUGUUGUUUAUAAAUUGGUAGGAUUGUCUGUGAUCUAUUUGGGGAAUCUAUGUUGAGGGUAUAAAGGAAGAAGUUGUUCUUUCUCCUGGGCAUGCACUUUCUUUUAUUACUGCUAGGGAAGGUACUUGUACCAAUUUCUCCUACUCUGUUCAUCUUUUUUUCAUUCGUCGUUGAUCUUUUGUUUGACAUGAGUGUCUGGUUAUGGUAUUCUUUAUUGAAAUUUAA
Molecule: long non-coding RNA, 490 nt
Organism: Carya illinoinensis
Lineage: Eukaryota; Viridiplantae; Streptophyta; Magnoliopsida; Fagales; Juglandaceae
Exons: 2
Source: RefSeq, a predicted model, not a curated record